AUGUUCUUCAGUUCGUAGGCAAGGGUUAGGCUUCAUGGCAACGUCAACCAGUUAGAGACAAGGUUCAUAACCAGAGGAGUUGCGGUGCUAAGAUUGCAAGAUUCGGGUCUUUCGAUUUGAAGCCGGAUCGGUGUGUUGUGCUGGGACUAAAACGAUAGUUAUCAUCUACCUGAUGGAAGUUUGGGAAUCAUGUCCCUAUCAAGUGGUAUUCAAAGCUAAGGUAUACAGUCAAGUUUGCUUUUAUCCUCUACUUUUGAGUGUUUCACAUUCGUCCUAUAGACCAAUGCCAUACUUGUUUUCCUGCCCUAGAAACUUCCAUGUGAGAGCCUUUUGCAUAAUUCAGUUCCACAAUUCAUAGUUUUGAGUUUGUGUCUUGUUCGAUGUCUUGUUGCUAGUUAGGUUGUGUUAGGUCUAGUUUGUGUGUUUAUUCCCAUUGUUUCCAUCAAUCCCUAGCCGCCGUGACUAGUUUUGCGUGCAUUGUUCCCAUUUUACCCUCUAAUUUGUAGUUAGAUCUUAAAAUUGGUCUAGUUUUCGCAUACGAACUCCGUUUUCGACGUUCUUUAUAUCAAAAUCGAGCAACAAAAAAUUUCAGAGUCGUCUCUCCCCUGUUUUGCUGGGUUCAAAGAAUUUUAUUUUGUCCACAAACUAGUCACAAGAUUGUCUUUUCAUGACCACAAGCUUGUUGUCAAUUUUUAACACAUCUUCUAAAUUUUCCAUGGGCCACGUCUUUCACCUGAUUAAGCUCAAAUUUAUUGUGGUUCAUUCUUGUGUGCUCCUAAGUCAAGAAAAAAUAUCAGAAAAAAUAAAAAGAAAAAGUCAAAAUUUCCCAAAAACAGCGAUAGCCCAAAAAUUAAGAAAAAAAGAAAGAGGCAAAAGAGGAACAAUAUCUAUAUGAGCACAUAAGGAAGGUCUAGUUGAGCAGUGUUCAAAGGUCCUAAUAUGACUAUAGAGGAGAUGAACGUUGACGGUUCUUAAGUAUCAAUUUGAAUUAUCAAAUAAACAAGAGAAUGGACCAAUAUGCAACCAUCACCUAGAAUUAGGGUUUGAUCUGACAGAAUUCCACGAGUUUUGUUGUUUAUCUAUUUCUGCAGGGGGUUAUCAGGAAAUAAGGAAGAAAGGCCCACAUGUCGGGAUUACAUAGAGAUAUCAACGCACCGCGCAAUUUUACUUCAUCUAGAAGACUCCAGAAGCCACGAGACCCAAGCGGAGGCAAAACUGGGCCAGGCCCAGGGCGCCCGCCCUAGAAGCCUAGGCGCCCGCCCCCCUGCUGGAGCCAAAUCAGGACUCUUUCGCUCGGGAUAUUCCACCGACCUAUUGAAUCAAGAAAAACAUAGUACCACCUCGCCUAUCGACCCAAAAACGCAUAGAAGGGGAGGACUAUAUAAGCAAGGCCCCCCUAGCCCCUGGAGAAGACAUGAAGAAAUUAUCAUAGAGACUGAGGGGUGCCCUCGAAGAAAAACCUCUUCUCUAAUUAAUAUUUCUUUUUAGGCUUAGCAAUCAAUGUAAGGUAGAAAUAGAUCUUCUAGUUUCUACUAGAUUGAGAGAGAUAGAGUGGAGGUGUAGAGUGGAGGAUGCCCGGCCUGUCGGUGUCUACUCCAAGCUUGUACCUGCGGGAUCAAGUUCUCCUAACCCGAAGCUUGCUCCUAGGAUUCUUCAGUAAUUCGACUUCUAAAUUCUAGUAAGUUCUUGUUUUAUUUUUCUUAUGGUUUAUGAGUUUACUUUAAUCUCUUCGCGUAGAGUUUAGAGUAAUCAUUGCUGGCGUAAACGUGGUGUUUAGGCUGGGGUACUCAUAAAUAUUCCCUGACUAGCU
Molecule: long non-coding RNA, 1810 nt
Filed under: Sorghum bicolor (sorghum)
Lineage: Eukaryota; Viridiplantae; Streptophyta; Magnoliopsida; Poales; Poaceae
Description: long non-coding RNA (SBIC_LNC017592)
Source: RNAcentral